This 200-nucleotide ribosomal RNA is filed under the name uncultured bacterium. RNAcentral's name for it is "partial 16S ribosomal RNA". It matches the Rfam family "Bacterial small subunit ribosomal RNA", at positions 30 to 231 of the family's 1533-position model. The record is from RNAcentral.
AUUGAACGCUGGCGGCAGGCCUAACACAUGCAAGUCGAGCGGAUGAGUGGAGCUUACUCAUGAUUCAGCGGCGGACGGGUGAGUAAUGCCUAGGAAUCUGCCUAUUAGUGGGGGACAACGUUUCGAAAGGAACGCUAAUACCGCAUACGUCCUACGGGAGAAAGCAGGGGACCUUCGGGCCUUGCGCUAAUAGAUGAGCC